Molecule: transfer RNA, 66 nt
Filed under: Diplectrona hexapetala (nom. nud.)
Lineage: Eukaryota; Metazoa; Arthropoda; Insecta; Trichoptera; Hydropsychidae
Description: tRNA-Leu
Source: RNAcentral
UCCACUGUGACAGAAUUAAAUGUGAUGAAUUUAAGCUUCAUUUAUAAAGUCUACCUUUCCCUGGAA